RNAcentral lists this ribosomal RNA (365 nucleotides) under uncultured cyanobacterium. RNAcentral describes it as "bacterial SSU rRNA". It matches the Rfam family "Bacterial small subunit ribosomal RNA", at positions 418 to 797 of the family's 1533-position model. The record is from RNAcentral. Lineage: Bacteria; Bacillati; Cyanobacteriota.
GUGGAUUGUAAACCUCUUUUGAUAGGGAAGAAGACAGUGACGGUACCUAUCGAAUCAGCCUCGGCUAACUCCGUGCCAGCAGCCGCGGUAAUACGGAGGAGGCAAGCGUUAUCCGGAAUUAUUGGGCGUAAAGAGUCCGUAGGUGGGUCACCCAGUCAGCUGUUAAAUAGUGAAGCUUAACUUCAUAGAGGCGGCUGAAACUGGUGGUCUAGAGAGUGGUAGGGGUAGAGGGAAUUUCCAGUGUAGCGGUGAAAUGCGUAGAUAUUGGAAAGAACACCGGUGGCGAAAGCGCUCUACUGGGCCAUUACUGACACUGAGGGACGAAAGCUAGGGGAGCGAAAGGGAUUAGAUACCCCAGUAGUCUA